Molecule: long non-coding RNA, 461 nt
Filed under: Gossypium barbadense (sea-island cotton)
Lineage: Eukaryota; Viridiplantae; Streptophyta; Magnoliopsida; Malvales; Malvaceae
Description: long non-coding RNA (GBAR_LNC015098)
Source: RNAcentral
CGGAUUUGAAAAGAAGUAUACUGUAUACAUAUAUAAACGAGAAACCGGUGCAUUUUCUACAGCACCCAUAGCUGAAGUAGUAAUCACCGACAACAAAUUAACAGCAUAACUAAGUCAAUAACCCCCAGAACAAAAAACAGCAGAUAUAGUUAGUAACCAUUCUAAAAUAUUACAUUCACAAACACAUGUUGACUCGUUGAGAACAAAGAAGCACUAGCAAAAUCGCAGAAAUAUCGAAGAAUGGAAUUUUUUUCAUAACAAAAGUAGUAGAAGAAUCAAUUUCAGUAAAAAAAAACCUUUGAGUGGCGAAGUCGAAAUCGAUGGCAAACAAAUGUCGAACAAUGAUGAUGACCUGGUGUAAGCUGGACUGUGUGACUGGUGGAUGUUGGACGAUGAUGACUAGCAGUAGGGAUUUUGGGACUUCAGAGAUUUUAGAUCAUGGAUUUUUAAUUUAGGGUUAG